RNAcentral lists this ribosomal RNA (493 nucleotides) under uncultured bacterium. RNAcentral's name for it is "partial 16S ribosomal RNA". It matches the Rfam family "Bacterial small subunit ribosomal RNA", at positions 29 to 507 of the family's 1533-position model. The record is from RNAcentral.
ACGAACGCUGGCGGCGUGCUUAACACCUGCAAGUCGAACGGUGAAGCGCCUUCCUUUUUGGUGGGUGUGGAUGAGUGGCGAACGGGUGAGUAACACGUGAGUAACCUGCCCCCUUCUUCUGGAUAACCGCAUGAAAGUGUGGCUAAUACGGGAUAUUCUGGGUCUGUCGCAUGAUGGGUCUGGGAAAGAUAUUGUUUCGGUGGGGGAUGGGCUCGCGGCCUAUCAGCUUGUUGGUGGGGUGAUGGCCUACCAAGGCGGUGACGGGUAGCCGGCCUGAGAGGGUGGACGGUCACACUGGGACUGAGACACGGACCAGACUCCUACGGGAGGCAGCAGGGGAGAAUAUUGCACAAUGGGCGCAAGCCUGAUGCAGCGACGCCGCGUGAGUGAUGGAGGCCUUCGGGUUGUGAACCUCUUUCGCCAGUGAAGCAGGCCUGCCUCGUUUGUGGGUGGGUUGACGGUAGCUAGAUAAGAAGCGCCGGCUAACUACGUG